AAGCUCGUAGUUGAAAUUGUGUCCUGCGGUGUCGGUCUGCCGAUUGCGGUACGACAGGCACGUCUGCGGGACUUCUCGCCGGUGCGUCCACCGCCGAAGCGCGUCGGUCGAUCCUCGCGGUCGCGCCGUUCGCGUCCAGGCGGAACGUUGCGGCUGUUUACUUUGAACAAAUUAGAGUGCUCAAAGCGGGCUAACACUCGCCUGAAUAUUGUACGCAUGGAAUAAUAGAAUAGGACCUCGGUUCUGUUUUGUUGGCUUUCUGAUACCAGAGGUAAUGAUUAAUAGGGACAACUGGGGGCAUUCGUAUUGCGACGUUAGAGGUGAAAUUCUUGGAUCGUCGCAAGACGGACUAAAGCGAAAGCAUUUGCCAAAGGUGUUUUCAUUAAUCAAGAACGAAAGUUAGAGGUUCGAAGGCGAUUAGAUACCGCUGUAGUUCUAACCAUAAAUGAUGCCAGCCAGCGAUCCGCCGAAGUUUCAUAAUCUUAACCCGGUGGGCAGCUCCCGGGAAACCAA
RNAcentral lists this ribosomal RNA (513 nucleotides) under Athripsodes cinereus. RNAcentral's name for it is "SSU rRNA". It matches the Rfam family "Eukaryotic small subunit ribosomal RNA", at positions 624 to 1101 of the family's 1831-position model. Lineage: Eukaryota; Metazoa; Arthropoda; Insecta; Trichoptera; Leptoceridae. The record is from RNAcentral. RNAcentral also lists the same sequence under 1 other name.